Molecule: transfer RNA, 73 nt
Filed under: Camelus bactrianus (Bactrian camel)
Lineage: Eukaryota; Metazoa; Chordata; Mammalia; Artiodactyla; Camelidae
Also listed under: 1 other name
Rfam family: tRNA
About the family: Transfer RNA (tRNA) molecules are approximately 80 nucleotides in length. Their secondary structure includes four short double-helical elements and three loops (D, anti-codon, and T loops). Further hydrogen bonds mediate the characteristic L-shaped molecular structure. tRNAs have two regions of fundamental functional importance: the anti-codon, which is responsible for specific mRNA codon recognition, and the 3' end, to which the tRNAs corresponding amino acid is attached (by aminoacyl-tRNA synthetases). tRNAs cope with the degeneracy of the genetic code in two manners: having more than one tRNA (with a specific anti-codon) for a particular amino acid; and 'wobble' base-pairing, i.e. permitting non-standard base-pairing at the 3rd anti-codon position.
Source: Rfam by way of RNAcentral
GAGGGUAUAGCUCAACUGGUAGAACACCUGCUUAGCAUGCACAAGGUCCUGGGUUCAAUCCCCAGUACCUCCA